CCUACGGGUGGCAGCAGUGGGGAAUAUUGGACAAUGGGCGAAAGCCUGAUCCAGCCAUGCCGCGUGUGUGAAGAAGGCCUUCGGGUUGUAAAGCACUUUCAGUGGGGAAGAAAGCCUUGGGGCUAAUACCCUCGAGGAAGGACAUCACCCACAGAAGAAGCACCGGCUAACUCCGUGCCAGCAGCCGCGGUAAUACGGAGGGUGCGAGCGUUAAUCGGAAUUACUGGGCGUAAAGCGCGCGUAGGCGGUCUGACAAGCCGGUUGUGAAAGCCCCGGGCUCAACCUGGGAACGGCAUCCGGAACUGUCAGGCUAGAGUGCAGGAGAGGAAGGUAGAAUUCCCGGUGUAGCGGUGAAAUGCGUAGAGAUCGGGAGGAAUACCAGUGGCGAAGGCGGCCUUCUGGACUGACACUGACGCUGAGGUGCGAAAGCGUGGGUAGCAAACAGGAUUAGAUACCCCAGUAGUC
RNAcentral lists this ribosomal RNA (465 nucleotides) under Vreelandella stevensii. RNAcentral's name for it is "partial 16S ribosomal RNA". It matches the Rfam family "Bacterial small subunit ribosomal RNA", at positions 338 to 795 of the family's 1533-position model. Lineage: Bacteria; Pseudomonadati; Pseudomonadota; Gammaproteobacteria; Oceanospirillales; Halomonadaceae. The record is from RNAcentral.